This 87-nucleotide transfer RNA is filed under the name Alloalcanivorax xenomutans. RNAcentral describes it as "tRNA-Leu". It matches the Rfam family "tRNA". From Rfam's summary of the family: Transfer RNA (tRNA) molecules are approximately 80 nucleotides in length. Their secondary structure includes four short double-helical elements and three loops (D, anti-codon, and T loops). Lineage: Bacteria; Pseudomonadati; Pseudomonadota; Gammaproteobacteria; Oceanospirillales; Alcanivoracaceae. The record is from RNAcentral.
GCGGGUAUGGUGAAAUUGGUAGACACAAGAGACUUAAAAUCUUUUGGCCUCACGGCCGUGCCGGUUCGAGUCCGGCUACCCGCACCA